Molecule: non-coding RNA, 45 nt
Filed under: Trichobilharzia regenti
Lineage: Eukaryota; Metazoa; Platyhelminthes; Trematoda; Strigeidida; Schistosomatidae
Source: RNAcentral
CUCCGGUUGACGAGUCCCAAAUAGGACGAAACGCACAUCCUGGAU